This 307-nucleotide unclassified non-coding RNA is filed under the name plant metagenome. RNAcentral's name for it is "partial contains 5.8S ribosomal RNA, internal transcribed spacer 2, and large subunit ribosomal RNA". The stretch from base 1 to 105 matches the Rfam family "5.8S ribosomal RNA", at positions 50 to 154 of the family's 154-position model. The record is from RNAcentral.
GAAAUGCGAUACGUAGUGUGAAUUGCAGAAUUCAGUGAAUCAUCGAAUCUUUGAACGCACAUUGCGCCCUUUGGUAUUCCAAAGGGCAUGCCUGUUCGAGCGUCAUUUCAACCCUCAGAACCCCUUGCGGGAUCUGGCGUUGGGGAUUGGCAUCCAGCCAGCCCCGAAAUCUAGUGGCGGUCCCUCCGCGACCUCCCCUGUGCAGUAGCGAUACCUCGCAGCGGGACAGCGGUCUGACCACGCCGUAAAACCCCCAACUUCUCAAGGUUGACCUCGAAUCAGGUAGGAAUACCCGCUGAACUUAAGC